GUAGGUGGCAAGCGUUGUCCGGAAUUAUUGGGCGUAAAGCGCGCGCAGGCGGUCCUUUAAGUCUGAUGUGAAAGCCCACGGCUCAACCGUGGAGGGUCAUUGGAAACUGGGGGACUUGAGUACAGAAGAGGAAAGCGGAAUUCCAAGUGUAGCGGUGAAAUGCGUAGAGAUUUGGAGGAACACCAGUGGCGAGGGCGGCUUUCUGGUCUGUAACUGACGCUGAGGCGCGAAAGCGUGGGGAGCAAACAGGGAUUAGAUACCCUGGUAGUCCACGCCGUAAACGAUGAGUGCUAAGUGUUAGGGGGUUUCCCGCCCCCUUAGUGCUGCAGCUAACGCAUUAAGCACUCCGCCUGGGGAGUACGGCCGCAAGGCUG
This 374-nucleotide ribosomal RNA is filed under the name uncultured organism. Its description in RNAcentral is "partial 16S ribosomal RNA". It matches the Rfam family "Bacterial small subunit ribosomal RNA", at positions 527 to 896 of the family's 1533-position model. The record is from RNAcentral.